Molecule: non-coding RNA, 106 nt
Organism: Capsicum annuum
Lineage: Eukaryota; Viridiplantae; Streptophyta; Magnoliopsida; Solanales; Solanaceae
Source: Rfam
ACCUCAUUGUUGGGGCAUUGCAAAAGCUUUCCAUUAAAUCUCUCCCAUACCUCAUAUGGAGGCUCUCCAUUUAAUUAAUAAAAGUUUGGGAUUUCAUCAUGCAAUU